RNAcentral lists this ribosomal RNA (253 nucleotides) under uncultured bacterium. RNAcentral describes it as "partial 16S ribosomal RNA". It matches the Rfam family "Bacterial small subunit ribosomal RNA", at positions 524 to 776 of the family's 1533-position model. The record is from RNAcentral.
UACGAAGGGGGCUAGCGUUGCUCGGAAUCACUGGGCGUAAAGCGCACGUAGGCGGCUUCUUAAGUCAGGGGUGAAAUCCUGGAGCUCAACUCCAGAACUGCCUUUGAUACUGAGAAGCUUGAGUCCGGGAGAGGUGAGUGGAACUGCGAGUGUAGAGGUGAAAUUCGUAGAUAUUCGCAAGAACACCAGUGGCGAAGGCGGCUCACUGGCCCGAUACUGACGCUGAGGUGCGAAAGCGUGGGGAGCGAACAGG